CCAACGAUACCACCACCUAAGAAGCCUCCUACAAUUUCACCAUCUACACCUACCACACCACCACAAACCUUGACUCCGUCUAAACAACCAAUUCGUCCAAUGACACCACCACCUAAGAAUCCUCCUACGACGGCACCACCUACUCGUUACACACCACCUACUUUGCCUCCUUCAAAACAACCACCUCAUUCAAUGACACCACCAACAAAGCAGGCUCCUAUGAAAGCGCCGCCUACUCCUACCACACUACAACCUAUCUUGUCUCCCACACAACCACCUCGUCCAACGACAUCACCACCUAAGAUAACUCCUAUAACACCACCGACUCCUACCAAAUCACAACCACCUAAGACGACUCCUGCCAAACCACCAACUCUAACCACACCACCACCAACUCUGACUCCUUCUGGACAACCACCUCGUCCAGUAACACAACAACCUAGGAAUCCUCCAACUUCAACACUUCCAACUUUGCGUCCUUCUACACCUCCACCUCAUUCAUUGACAUCUCCACCUAAGACGGCUCCUACCAAAGCGCCGCCUACUCCUAGCACACUACCUCCUCGUCCAAUGACACCGCCACCUAAGAAGCCUCCUACAAUUUCACCAUCUACACCUACCACACCACCACCAACCAUGUUUAAUUCACCGCCACCUCGAACAAUUGCACCAUCACCUAAAAUGCCACCAACAACAUCGCCACCUACUCCUAUCACAUCUCCGUCGAAGCUACCUCCCACACAACCACCUCGUCCAACGACAUCACCACCUAAGAUAACUCCUAUAACACCACCGACUCCUACCACAUCACAACCACCUAAGACGACUCUUGCCAAACCACCAACUCUUACCACACCACCACCAUCUCUGACUCCUUCUGGACAACCACCUCGUCCAGUAACACAACAACCUAGGAAUCCUCCAACUUCAACACCACCAACUCCUUCAACACUUCCAACUUUGCGUCCUUCUACACCUCCACCUCAUUCAUUGACAUCUCCACCUAAGACGGCUCCUACCAAAGCGCCGCCUACUCCUAGCACACUACCUCCUCGUCCAAUGACACCGCCACCUAAGAAGCCUCCUACAAUUUCACCAUCUACACCUACCACACCACCACCAACCAUGUUUAAUUCACCGCCAC
This 1144-nucleotide long non-coding RNA is filed under the name Medicago truncatula (barrel medic). RNAcentral describes it as "long non-coding RNA (MTRU_LNC008139)". Lineage: Eukaryota; Viridiplantae; Streptophyta; Magnoliopsida; Fabales; Fabaceae. The record is from RNAcentral.